RNAcentral lists this ribosomal RNA (457 nucleotides) under uncultured bacterium. RNAcentral describes it as "bacterial SSU rRNA". It matches the Rfam family "Bacterial small subunit ribosomal RNA", at positions 340 to 786 of the family's 1533-position model. The record is from RNAcentral.
UACGGGAGGCAGCAGUGGGGAAUAUUGCACAAUGGGCGCAAGCCUGAUGCAGCCAUGCCGCGUGUAUGAAGAAGGCCUUAGGGUUGUAAAGUACUUUCAUCGGGGAGGAAAAAACAAAACUAAUAAUUUUAUUUCUUGACGUUACCCGAAAAAGAAGCACCGGCUAACUCCGUGCCAGCAGCCGCGGUAAUACGGAGGGUGCUAGCGUUAAUCAGAAUUACUGAGCGUAAAGAGCACGUAGGUGGUUUUUUUAAAGUCAGAUGUGAAAUCCCUGGGCUUAACCUAGGAACUGCAUUUUGAAACUGAAAUACUAGAGUAUCGUAGAGGGAGGUAGAAUUCUAGGUGUAGCGGUGAAAUGCGUAGAUAUCUGGAGGAAUACCUGUGGCGAAAGCGGCCUCCUAAACGAAUACUGACACUGAGGUGCGAAAGCGUGGGGAGCAAACAGGGAUUAGAUACC